GUUGAACCUCAAUUAAAUUGUUAAUAUUAAAUUGGUGAAAGUGAAGUGACAUACAGCUAAGUGUGGUGACAAGUGACAUAAGCAAGUGCUCUGCAUUUAACCCAUCCAAAGUGCACACACACACCGUGAACACACACACAGCAGUGAACACACACCCGGAGCAGUGGGUAUCAUUUAUGCUGCGGCGCCCGGGGAGCAGUUGGGGGUUCGGUGCCUUGCUCAAGAGCUCCUCAGUCGUGGUAUUGCCGGCCCGAGACUCAAACCCACAACCUUAGGGUUAGGAGUCAGACUCUGUAACCACUAGGCCACGACUUCCCAAAAAAUUGUCAAGGCUGACUGUAUUCCAAGUCAUCCUGGCGGGGUAUUGGGUAAAGUUUCCAACCAGCAAUGGCAAACAGGAAGUAGGAAUAACACUGUCCAACAGCGACACCCGCAGGGACCUCGGUAGUCUCGGUUCAUUCUCAUGUCUCUCUCAGUGUCAUUGAAGAACUGCAGACUGUAUAUACAGCAUCUCUGUCAUGUGUCUGUGACUCGUUCUUUACAUACGCACCUGUGUGUUCAGGCUGUGAGUUUUGCGAAGCAGCUGGAGCAGCUCGGGCAGACUCUUCACCGCACAUUUUCCAGUGACGUCUCAGAGGAAGUGAUGCGUAGUGUGAUCGGGUGCCUGCGACUGAUGGAGGACAUUGUGGCUGAGGUUCAGGCGUCCGUUCUGAAGAUGCUGCUGGACCGGUUUGUGUGCUGGCAGGAACUGUCAGAUGCCCUGAGAGAAAAGACUGCGCUCCUGAAUCGGGAGGCGGAGCUUAUGCUGAAAGUCACCGGCCAAUCAGUGCAGGAGCUGAGAGCUGAUGGACAGCUGGAGAAACAGACUCUCCGUGAUGUGGAGACUGCAGUUAAUGAAGCACUGGAGCAGAGCACUGACGGUACUGACACAUGACCAACAUCACCACUGUGCUCUGAAACCUAUUUCACCCCUGUGUGUGUGUGUGUGUGUGUGUGUGUAGAGAUCAGACGUCAGACUGAAGAGCUCGCCUUGGAUCGCUGUCAGAAAGCCUGUGUGAGGAGGAGGAAGAUGAUGAAGGCUCAGAGCUCUGAGUGGGGUCCUGUGUCAGACACGCAGACGGACGCUCGUCUCAUGAUGAAGGUGAGAAACAGCAUGGACUCAUCUGCUGGAAACACUGUCUGUCUCUCUCUCUCUCUGUCAAUUCAGUUCAAUUCAAAAUGUGCUGCCAAAGCAUAGUGUUUACACUGAAUCUAGAACAGAUAUAAUGCAACAAAAACAUGCAUGUAUAUACAUUUAAAAAGUAGAACAAAUAAAAUUUUAGAAUUCUACA
Long non-coding RNA from Cyprinus carpio (common carp), 1331 nucleotides. NCBI's taxonomy places the organism in Eukaryota, Metazoa, Chordata, Actinopteri, Cypriniformes, Cyprinidae. The record is from Ensembl.